This 107-nucleotide small nucleolar RNA is filed under the name Theobroma cacao (cacao). RNAcentral describes it as "Plant small nucleolar RNA R71". It matches the Rfam family "Plant small nucleolar RNA R71". From Rfam's summary of the family: R71 is a member of the C/D box family of snoRNAs containing the C (UGAUGA) and D (CUGA) box motifs. The record is from Rfam by way of RNAcentral. Lineage: Eukaryota; Viridiplantae; Streptophyta; Magnoliopsida; Malvales; Malvaceae.
AUACCAUGAUGAGGACAACACCCAAGUAAUUCUUUGUUUAUUUCCCAAGCCUUAAACAGUGAUUCCGAAUCUUGCUGCAUGAAUCAUGUAAUAUCAUUCCUCAUUUU